RNAcentral lists this long non-coding RNA (527 nucleotides) under Anas platyrhynchos platyrhynchos (common mallard). RNAcentral's name for it is "lncRNA (ENSAPLG00000024966.1)". Lineage: Eukaryota; Metazoa; Chordata; Aves; Anseriformes; Anatidae. The record is from RNAcentral.
CUGGAACUGGGACUCUGAAAGCAAACCUUUUCCCCCCAAAAAUGGUGCUGCAAAUUGGUCUUUCAGCCUUGUCUUCGGCCUGAUGUGUCACAGCAUGGCUUGGAGACGAGGUGUGCUGCCCUAUUGGAGCUUGGGGUCUGGCUGACCAGGUCCAGGAAGAGCCAGGAGUGCAGAUGGGCUUGCAGUGUUUGAAAGCUGCACAGACCUGAUUCUGUUAGGUGGGGAAGUCAGAGAUGGCGAUGAAACAGAAAAUGCGCACUGCUGCAUGAGGCUCACCUAAUUCCUGAUGGCAAGACCAAAUCUGAACACAAUGGCCUGACCACUGCUGUGGUGAAAUUCAGAGCACGAAUACGGUAUAAUUGAUUUUUUUAAAUCAUAUUUCAUUCUAAAUUCUAUUGGAAAUGAAUUUUAGACCAUUCCCAUCUUUAAUCCAAACAGUACUUACAGCAGGAUAGCAGGAUACUCUGUACCAAAGUCCAGUGAACGAUAUGGAUCAGUAUGUCAUGUGAAACCCUUAGGGGCUUUCU